AUGGGCAGCAAAAAGAUUCUGGUGCUGCACACCAACAAGAACUUCGACCAGCAGAGGACCAACUGGGUGAUGCACCAGUACCACCUCGGGGACCUGGAGCAAGAGAAGGAGCGGGAGCUGGCCCUCUUUGUACUACCUUGUCGUCCGCAAGUUGGUAUUGUUGUUAACGAUAUUUUGGUCGAGCAAGUUUCAACUGGGUUGUAG
This 204-nucleotide ribosomal RNA is filed under the name Triticum aestivum (bread wheat). RNAcentral describes it as "partial small subunit ribosomal RNA". The record is from RNAcentral. Lineage: Eukaryota; Viridiplantae; Streptophyta; Magnoliopsida; Poales; Poaceae.